GGGCCCGCACAAGCGGCGGAGCAUGCGGAUUAAUUCGAUGCAACGCGAAGAACCUUACCAAGGCUUGACAUGUGCCAGACCGCCGUGGAAACACGGUUUCCCCUUUGGGGCUGGUUCACAGGUGGUGCAUGGUUGUCGUCAGCUCGUGUCGUGAGAUGUUGGGUUAAGUCCCGCAACGAGCGCAACCCUCGUUCCAUGUUGCCAGCGCGUAAAGGCGGGGACUCAUGGGAGACUGCCGGGGUCAACUCGGAGGAAGGUGGGGACGACGUCAAAUCAUCAUGCCCCUUAUGUCUUGGGCUUCACGCAUGCUACAAUGGCCGGUACAAUGGGUUGCGAUACUGUGAGAUGGAGCUAAUCCCAAAAAGCCGGUCUCAGUUCGGAUUGGGGUCUGCAACUCGACCCCAUGAAGUCGGAGUCGCUAGUAAUCGCAGAUCAGCAACGCUGCGGUGAAUACGUUCCCGGGCCUUGUACACACCGCCCGUCAAGUCACGAAAGUUGGUAACACCCGAAGCCGGUGGCCUAACCCCUUGUGGGAGGGAGCCGUCGAAGGUGGGACCGGCGAUUGGGACU
This 570-nucleotide ribosomal RNA is filed under the name uncultured bacterium. RNAcentral describes it as "bacterial SSU rRNA". It matches the Rfam family "Bacterial small subunit ribosomal RNA", at positions 917 to 1482 of the family's 1533-position model. The record is from RNAcentral.